Molecule: ribosomal RNA, 424 nt
Filed under: uncultured bacterium
Lineage: Bacteria
Description: bacterial SSU rRNA
Rfam family: Bacterial small subunit ribosomal RNA
Source: RNAcentral
GGGGAAUCUUCCGCAAUGGGCGAAAGCCUGACGGAGCAAUGCCGCGUGGAGGUAGAAGGCCCACGGGUCGUAAACUCCUUUUCUCAGAGAAGAAGCAAUGACGGUAUCUGAGGAAUAAGCAUCGGCUAACUCUGUGCCAGCAGCCGCGGUAAGACAGAGGAUGCAAGCGUUAUCCGGAAUGAUUGGGCGUAAAGCGUCUGUAGGUGGCGGUGUAAGCAUGGCGUGAAAGCCCCAGGCUUAACCUGGGAGGGUCGUCGUGGACUGCACCGCUUGAGGGCGGUAGGGGCUGGUGGAAUGCCUGGUGUAGUGGUGAAAUGCGUAGAGAUCAGGCGGAACACCCGUGGCGAAGGCGGCCAGCUGGGCCGUCCCUGACGCUGAGGCGCGAAGGCGUGGGGAGCGAAAGGGAUUAGAUACCCCUGUAGUC